ACGCACGCUGGCGGCGUGCUUCACCCCUGCCAGUCGAACGGAAAGGCCUCUUUCGGGGGGUACUCGAGUGGCGAACGGGUGAGUAACACGUGAGUAACCUGCCCUUGACUUUGGGAUAACUUCAGGAAACUGGGGCUAAUACCGGAUAGGAGCUCCUGCUGCAUGGUGGGGGUUGGAAAGUUUCGGCGGUUGGGGAUGGACUCGCGGCUUAUCAGCUUGUUGGUGGGGUAGUGGCUUACCAAGGCUUUGACGGGUAGCCGGCCUGAGAGGGUGACCGGCCACAUUGGGACUGAGAUACGGCCCAGACUCCUACGGGAGGCAGCAGUGGGGAAUAUUGCACAAUGGGUGGAAGCCUGAUGCAGCAACGCCGUGUGCGGGAUGACGGCCUUCGGGUUGUAAACCGCUUUCGCUCAUGACGAAGCUUUGUGUGACGGUAGUGGGUAAAGAAGCACCGGCUAACUACGUG
RNAcentral lists this ribosomal RNA (466 nucleotides) under uncultured bacterium. Its description in RNAcentral is "partial 16S ribosomal RNA". It matches the Rfam family "Bacterial small subunit ribosomal RNA", at positions 29 to 507 of the family's 1533-position model. The record is from RNAcentral.